RNAcentral lists this ribosomal RNA (332 nucleotides) under uncultured Coriobacteriales bacterium. RNAcentral describes it as "partial 16S ribosomal RNA". The record is from RNAcentral. Lineage: Bacteria; Bacillati; Actinomycetota; Coriobacteriia; Coriobacteriales.
GGAGUUUGGACCGUGUCUCAGUUCCAAUGUGGCCGAUCACCCUCUCAGGUCGGCUACUGAUCGUCGCCUUGGUGGGCCGUUACCUCACCAACCAGCUAAUCAGACGCGAACUCACCCCAAACCGGAUCGCUCCUUUUACCCCAAAGCCAUGCAGCUCCGUGGUCUUAUGCGGUAUUAGCACCUGUUUCCAAGUGUUAUCCCCCUGUCUGGGACAGAUCGUUCACGCGUUACUCACCCGUCCGCCGCUCGAAUAUACCCGAUUCCUGCCGAAGCUUUCCUCUGAUAUAUCCCCGCUCGACUUGCAUGUGUUAGGCACGCCGCCAGCGUUCGUC